AGAAGUUCAUUGAACAAUUUUGCGAGGAAGCAUAUGGAUGUUCAGUUCGAGAUCGAAAGAACUAUCUUGCAUACAAGCACCUGUGUAAUCUCUCUUUCACAUUAACUUUUUCCCUGUCAAGCAUAAAAUUUUAAUUGUUUUUGGUGAAUGGUUUGCAAUGGUGAUAUAGAAUGUGCAUGAGAAUUGGGAAGUUGGGAACUCUUAUCUGCUCUAUUAAGCGCCUUUGGGUAUGUGUCUUAUCAUAAUUUUAAUACUCUGUCAGAAACAGUUUGCAAUUUGUGAUCGCUAAAAACUAAAGUUUAGGAAGGUACCUUGAGUUUGUAGUAAUGAGUUCUUCUGAUAUUUUCAUCUGUUGAGGUUCCUUACUGUAGGGAAUUCAUGCUAUUGUGUGUUAUAAUGGGAUUCUGGGUCUUUUAUGGUAUUUGGUACUAUUAUUUUAUUAUCCUGAUUUAAUUUGUUGAAGGAAAUUUUGCCAUGGAAGAGCUACCAUGGUAUGAAGUCUUCCUUGUAGAAAGAUACUAGCAACCUGUAUGCAGCUUGAAAAUUCAUAGAUGUUUUGGUUGUCUACAUGUAGUGGUAGAGCCAUUCAACCCACCAGUAAAUCAUUUUAUGUUUUGGCUUUACUAUAACAUUAGAUCCUAAGGAACUGUGUGCUACUUUCGUGGCUUACAUAGUUACUGUGUACUACUUUUGUGGCUUACAUAGUUAAAGUCAAAGACCAUAAAAUGAUUAUACUACACUUUGCGAAAUUGUAUUCCCUCAUUAAUCGAGAUGGUAUUGAGAUGCUCUCUUUUUGGCUUUUUGUUUCUGGUUUCAGCAUCAGCUGUUAGUAAGCAGAGAAGAUUUGAUUUUCUUUCAGGUACGUUUUACAAUUCUUCCCCAUGCUUUGUUGCAUUUUUCUUGUUUAAUGCCUAAACAUAAACUUUUCUGGCAUGGACCGAGUUAUUACCUAUCUUGCCUGGUAUUAUCAUUAUUUGAUGAUGCUAUUACUUUCACAGCCCUGCAUUUAUUUAUCUAUCUAUAAUGUUUUGUGCAUUUAGAUUUUGUUCCUGAGAAACUAAAAGCUGAGGAUGCCUUGGCACAGAGAAAAUUGGUGGAGAAUAGGCAAGGAUAGGACCUUGGUAACACGCUAAGAUUAUAAUCCUUGCUCUUACUCAUUUUCCUUGGUAAAUCAUGCUUAUCUCAUAGGACUUCCAUUUGUUUUCAAUUGGUUGUAUAUUAUAGAGGGGAAAGGCAUCAGUUUCUGACAACUCAGAUUGGUUAUUCUCUUUCAUUUCCUAGUCCUUGCCUCUUGUUUUCAAUUGGCAUUGUAUUUUGUUGAUGAAAACAAUUCCUUGCUACCAAGUUAGGUUGGACAGUCAUUCUUAUUUUCUAGGCCUUUCCUUUUGCUUUCAAUUGGCUGUGUAUUUAGCAGGUAAUGGUAUUGAUUCCUAGUGAUUCAAUGGGAUCCAUGUGUAUGCACAUCUUGCUCUUCAGGCUACAAAAGAAGAAGGGUUGAUGCAGCAUAAACCAUUGUUGUCUGUGAAUUGAAUUCUUUUCAUGUUUGGUUGGUGAAAAAUUGUGUAAUUCUCUUUUAUUUGCUGAAGCAUGCACCCAAGUCUUGCGAUGAAUUGGUUCUGAUAUGACCCACUGCUGAAUGAUGCCCUGCAGUUGAUCUCAAGCCAUGGGGUACCCUAGUUCCAUAUAUAUAACAACUGUUCUGAUGGAAUUUCCUUCUGUUUCAAUUGAAUCUUAAAUUGUUGAAUCAUUGCCUUCAUUCUGUUCUUUUUCCCUUUCUCCCUAUGGUAAUA
This 1790-nucleotide unclassified non-coding RNA is filed under the name Hevea brasiliensis (rubber tree). Lineage: Eukaryota; Viridiplantae; Streptophyta; Magnoliopsida; Malpighiales; Euphorbiaceae. The record is from RNAcentral.